Non-coding RNA from Epinephelus lanceolatus (giant grouper), 957 nucleotides. Lineage: Eukaryota; Metazoa; Chordata; Actinopteri; Perciformes; Serranidae. The record is from RefSeq and is a predicted model, not a curated record.
UGAAAGGAGUGAAGUAUUGAUUAAAUCUUUCCUGCACACCUGCAAACUCCCCUCACAGGUGUUUUCACUUCUUGUAGCUGAUUCUCAGCUCAGAAAGUGCAUGAUUCACAUUUUCCCUUUUUAUGUUGUCAGUUUUGUUACACCUGUCUGCCUGGACAGCUUCAAUCUUUUCCAUUCUAAGUACAAGCAUUCUGAGACACUGAUGGAGUCCCAGUGUUGCUGAGCAGCGCUCUAAUCAGUGAGUGAGAACACCUGUGAGGCUCUGCAGGGCCUCAGACAGACAAACGUGCAGAUGGGGACAUGAACAGGAUCUGCGAGGAGCUUCCAAAUUUUUCUUGUUGCUGUUCCCCCCUUUGGCCUGUGCUGCAGAGGUCUUUUUUCCCCUCAUACUAUAUUUGACAAGGAAUAUUUCAUCUCUAUACAUCAUGUCCAACAUGGCUGCCUGCUGUGAGCCAACACAGGGGAACAUACCCUGCCCUGCCUGAGUGACUGAGGAAAGAUAGCACCAUGAAUCAGAGGCAGCAGCUGCGCCCAGCCUGAAGCUACUCAGUGUAAAGACAGCAGACAAAACAAAGACAGGGAAAUAAAGGCCAUGGGAGACGAGAACCAGGACAGCAUCACCCUGUGUCGCCACCAGAAACAUGCACCAUCUGCAAAAGGCGGCUGACGUCAGCCGGGCCCCAACAUCACCUAGCUAGGGUAGGACUGGAUUGGUGUUGGUCGGUGUGGUCGGUCAUUCAGUCAAGCUUUUGAAAUAUGCAUUUUUUUUGUUUGUUUGUUUUUUCUUUUUAAUUUAUGAUGUAUUUUCCCCACUUUUGUGUUUUUACAACUUUCCAAGCAGCCUCUUCCCGGCCAGGAUCCAGGCACCAAUCCGACCACGGAGGAUAAAUGCUCCAAACAGCUUUAGAGUUCAGGCAAAGCUGCAGAGAGAAGAAUCGAAAGCCUCUCCCCCUCAAG